UAGUCCACGCCGUAAACGAUGGAUGCUAGCCGUUGGCGGGUUUACUCGUCAGUGGCGCAGCUAACGCUUUAAGCAUCCCGCCUGGGGAGUACGGUCGCAAGAUUAAAACUCAAAGGAAUUGACGGGGGCCCGCACAAGCGGUGGAGCAUGUGGUUCAAUUCGAAGCAACGCGCAGAACCUUACCGGCCCUUGACGUGUCCCGUAUGGGUUUCAGAGAUGAGACCCUUCAGUUCGGCUGGCGGGAAC
RNAcentral lists this ribosomal RNA (246 nucleotides) under uncultured bacterium. RNAcentral's name for it is "partial 16S ribosomal RNA". It matches the Rfam family "Bacterial small subunit ribosomal RNA", at positions 791 to 1033 of the family's 1533-position model. The record is from RNAcentral.